Molecule: ribosomal RNA, 492 nt
Filed under: uncultured bacterium
Lineage: Bacteria
Description: partial 16S ribosomal RNA
Rfam family: Bacterial small subunit ribosomal RNA
Source: RNAcentral
AGUGAACGCUGGCGGUAGGCCUAACACAUGCAAGUCGAACGGCAGCACAGUAAGAGCUUGCUCUUACGGGUGGCGAGUGGCGGACGGGUGAGGAAUACAUCGGAAUCUACUUUUUCGUGGGGGAUAACGUAGGGAAACUUACGCUAAUACCGCAUACGACCUACGGGUGAAAGCAGGGGAUCUUCGGACCUUGCGCGAUUGAAUGAGCCGAUGUCGGAUUAGCUAGUUGGCGGGGUAAAGGCCCACCAAGGCGACGAUCCGUAGCUGGUCUGAGAGGAUGAUAAGCCACACUGGAACUGAGACACGGUCAAGACGCCUACGGGAGGCAGCAGUGGGGAAUAUUGGACAAUGGGCGCAAGCCUGAUCCAGCCAUACCGCGUGGGUGAAGAAGGCCUUCGGGUUGUAAAGCCCUUUUGUUGGGAAAGAAAAGCAGCAGGUUAAUACCCCGCUGUUCUGACGGUACCCAAAGAAUAAGCACCGGCUAACUUCGUG